AGAGAGAGACAUGCGCGCAUAUCAAUAAGCGGAGGAAAAGAAACUAACAAGGAUUCCCCUAGUAACGGCGAGUGAAGCGGGAAGAGCUCAAAUUUGAAAUCUUAAAGGGUUUCCCUUUACGAAUUGUAGUUUAAAGAAGUGUUUUCUGUUGAGGUUUUGGUAAAGUUCUUUGGAAUAGGACAUCAUAGAGGGUGAGAAUCCCGUAUUUGACCUUUACUUUCAACUUUGUGAUACACUUUCAAAGAGUCGGAUUGUUUGGGAAUGCAGUCCAAAAUGGGUGGUAAAUUUCAUCUAAAGCUAAAUAUUGGCGAGAGACCGAUAGCGAACAAGUACCGUGAGGGAGAGAUGAAAAGAACUUUGAAAAGAGAGUUAAACAGUACGUGAAAUUGUCAAAAGGGAAGCGUUUGACACCAGUGUUGUUUUUCUGAAAAUCAAUUAAAGAACUGUUUAUGCUAAGCUGUUUAGACUUUAUCAGCUAUCUGUUUAGUUUUGAGCUUUUCUUUAAUGCACUUUUCAGUUAACAAGUCAACAUCAAUUUCUUUUGCUGUAAAAAGCUUGAGGAAGGUGGCUUGAGAUUCGUCUUAAGUGUUUAUAGCCUCUUGCCUAUGCAGUCGGAGAGAUUGAGGUCUGCAGCGUAGAUCCUUCGGGGCUAAAUGCAUUUGUGCUAAGUUAUAGCAUUUUAUAGACAACUUGUUGACUAUGAUUUGUCUUGUAGCUUACUCGCUUAUGUUAUUUUACCUACGCUUAGGAUGUUGACGCAUGAGAUAUACGC
This 772-nucleotide ribosomal RNA is filed under the name uncultured Neocallimastigales. RNAcentral's name for it is "partial large subunit ribosomal RNA". It matches the Rfam family "Eukaryotic large subunit ribosomal RNA", at positions 23 to 646 of the family's 3401-position model. Lineage: Eukaryota; Fungi; Neocallimastigomycota; Neocallimastigomycetes; Neocallimastigales. The record is from RNAcentral.